ACAUUGAAAAGAGAUCUUCCAGAGGUUUUCAUUGGUUUGUUAUUGUCUUUCCAGGCUCGUGGUGGAUGCACUCGAUUGUCGCUGUGGGUCUGAUUGUACUCCUGAUCACAGCUGUGGUGAUCAUCAUCAGGUGGAAAAGGACCAAAGGUUCCUGGUGGAGAUUAAGGAGAGACGGUGAUAUAUGCUGAUGAAGAAAGCUCUGUGAAUCUACGUCCCUUUCCCUUUAUCCUAGCAUUUUGUCAAACCAUACUUUUUUCAGUCACAGACUGAUGAAAACUAAUCAUGUUGUUUCAACACUGUUUAUCAUGUAAUACCAAUGUAUUGUGAAGUUUUCAGGUGAUUUUAUCAUCUCCAGUGUACCUGACUUUCAGCUGUAACUCCAAACUGUUUUCUUAAUGCUAAUAUUAUUAUAAAAUGUUACUUUGAUGGAAUUUCACUCUGUCCCUCUGUUCAUUUCAAGUCUGUCAAUACAGCUUGAUUUCCUAACUGUCCA
Salarias fasciatus (jewelled blenny) is the source of this 493-nucleotide long non-coding RNA. NCBI's taxonomy places the organism in Eukaryota, Metazoa, Chordata, Actinopteri, Blenniiformes, Blenniidae. The record is from Ensembl.